This 125-nucleotide microRNA precursor is filed under the name Hordeum vulgare. RNAcentral describes it as "microRNA MIR1122". It matches the Rfam family "MIR1120/MIR1122 microRNA precursor family". Lineage: Eukaryota; Viridiplantae; Streptophyta; Magnoliopsida; Poales; Poaceae. The record is from RNAcentral.
UAAAUACUCCCUCCGUCCAAAAAUACUGGUCAUAGGAAUGGAUGUAUCUAUAUAUUUUUUAGUUCUAGAUACAUCUAUUUUGGUAAAUUUGUGCGACAAGUAAUUCUGGAUGGAGGGAGUAUAUG